RNAcentral lists this non-coding RNA (134 nucleotides) under Monopterus albus (swamp eel). Lineage: Eukaryota; Metazoa; Chordata; Actinopteri; Synbranchiformes; Synbranchidae. The record is from RNAcentral.
AGGGAGGUAUAAGAAGGUGAAACUAUUAAGGCAUAUAGUUUUCACUGAUACCCACCUCCAAAAGUGAAAGUGGUAGUGUGAACCACCUGAUCUUCAGAGAUAAGGUUCUGCGUGCUUUGCACCUACCCACAAAG